UACAGAGGGUGCAAGCGUUAAUCGGAGUUAUUGGGCGUAAAGCGUGCGUAGGCUGACAUUUAAGUCGGGCGUGAAAGCCCCGGGCUUAACCUGGGAAUUGCGUUCGAUACUGUUUGUCUAGAGUAUGGUAGAGGAGGGCGGAAUUUCCGGUGUAGCGGUGAAAUGCGUAGAUAUCGGAAAGAACAUCAGUGGCGAAGGCGGCCUUCUGGACCAAUACUGACGCUGAGACACGAAAGCGUGGGGAG
This 245-nucleotide ribosomal RNA is filed under the name uncultured bacterium. Its description in RNAcentral is "partial 16S ribosomal RNA". It matches the Rfam family "Bacterial small subunit ribosomal RNA", at positions 524 to 768 of the family's 1533-position model. The record is from RNAcentral.